RNAcentral lists this unclassified non-coding RNA (597 nucleotides) under Opuntia rioplatensis. RNAcentral describes it as "external transcribed spacer". Lineage: Eukaryota; Viridiplantae; Streptophyta; Magnoliopsida; Caryophyllales; Cactaceae. The record is from RNAcentral.
GGUGACUUCGUGUCCCUCGGUGCAAAGAUGUUGGUUGGUUAUGGUUACCCUUCGCGUCCAGCGGUGCUGGUUGGGAUCCGCCCUUUGCUAUUCCGUUCGUCUAUGUGCCAUAGUCGGGCGGGCAUGCGGGGUGCCUCUCAUCAGCGACACGUGGGGGCGCUUGAGUGACGUUUGUUUCGUUUUCGUUGGCGGGCUCCCUGCUUGAGCAGUGAACCGUUUGCGGACGAUCAUCUUCAAAGGCUGAUCCAGGGGCGGGCAAGCCCUGGGCAAAAGGACGGUUUCCUGUGUUGCAUGCCUCGUGAAGGCAAAGCUUGGACCCUAAAGAGAUGAACUUUCGCUCGGUGCCCCAUUGGGGUGUCGGGUGGACCAUUUGGGCUGGGGCCGUUGUCCACCUGUGUGCCGCCGCAAGCGCACGCGGCUUGGGCUAUGGCCUUCGGUCGUGCUCUGGGAUGCCGAACACUGUGCGGGCAUGCUUCCACGUUGUGGAUGCGAAUGCCCAAGCAAAGCGUUCUUUGCUCGAAACGGAGGACGGCCGUGCGUGUUUUGACCCCCCGCUGGCUCGGGGCGGAUCAUGCGCGCCGGCGUCAUCGAGGGUGC